CUAGCCCUAAACGAUGUAGACUAGACGUCGGUGGUGUAAUAGCUGUCGGUGUCCAAGCUAACGCGAUAAGUCUACCGCCUGGGGACUACGGCCGCAAGGUUAAAACUCAAAGGAAUUGACGGGUCCCCGCACAAGCAGCGGAGCGUGUGGUUUAAUUCGUUGCUACACGAAGAACCUUACCUGGGUUUGACAUAGCAGUGGUAGGGAAGAGAAAUCGGACCGACCCUUCGGGGAGAUGUUACAGGUGU
RNAcentral lists this ribosomal RNA (248 nucleotides) under uncultured Anaerolineaceae bacterium. RNAcentral describes it as "partial 16S ribosomal RNA". It matches the Rfam family "Bacterial small subunit ribosomal RNA", at positions 796 to 1041 of the family's 1533-position model. The record is from RNAcentral. Lineage: Bacteria; Bacillati; Chloroflexota; Anaerolineae; Anaerolineales; Anaerolineaceae.